Long non-coding RNA from Oncorhynchus tshawytscha (Chinook salmon), 1622 nucleotides. The record is from Ensembl. Lineage: Eukaryota; Metazoa; Chordata; Actinopteri; Salmoniformes; Salmonidae.
GUUAAUUAUGGUCCUGAGAAUCAGCUGAUUAGUACAACCAGGCAAGUACCUGAUACCCUAUGACGAGAUCAAGCGUCGUCUGGAGGCUCCAGAGAAGAUGUCUCUGCGUUCACUAGCAGCCUACACCAGGGUCAGCCGUGGCCCGGCCAGCAAGAAAACCCUGCAGGAGUCUCUAAAUAUACUGGGUCUUACUCCUGGUACUACUACUUCUGUGUCUUCUUCCUUUUCCAAGCUCACAGAGGGUGACACCAAAGCCCUGUGUAACGACAUGAAGGACUUUGCCCAUGACUACAUAGACUUUGGCAACAUGGCCAAGCAGCUUAUUCCAGAGACCAACACUGUCCAACACUGGUCCAAGGUCAUAGAAACCAGGAGCCACCUGGAGGCGAUGAGGAAGUGUUUUCGUGACCCGGUCAACAGUGCGUCGUUCGACAACGUGACUCAUGGGUUGGGCCUCGGGAUGCUCGACGCCGCCCUCGACAUGAUUACCAUGGUGAUCGACAAACAAAUUCGCAUCCUGUCUGGCGCUGCGGCAACCGAUCCCGUCGACACCGGCCCUCCAAUGAGACGCAUCCGCCGCCGCCACCGCAAGCCCCGAGACAACGGCAACGACAAAUUGCACGGGUCGCUGGGCGGGGUUAAAGGUCAAGAGAAAGGGCCAGGGAAGGGCAAAGGGAGGGGCAGAGGCAGGAAGAAGAUGCGGCUGCAGGAGUCUGGAGCUCCGGUUGGUGUUGCCAUGGAUACAACCCAGCAGCAUGAUCAAGAGCAUUGUCAGCCGGAGGAUGUGGAGAGCAGUGUUCUCACACUCGUCUCUGUUGGUUACGAGACCAUCUCCAGCGGCCUCAAUGCCACAGGACAGAUCUGAAGAUGUUUAACGGUUGAACAAACAAUGCUUAACAGGGGAAUCGGACUUUGCUUAAUAUUUUCCCAUGGGGAAGCUGGGAGCGGAACUGUCUUAGUAACUUUGUGGAACAUUGUGGAACGUUGUGAUGUUUAGACGCAACUCUGCUUUGGCCCACAGAACCCCAAACACUGAGAGGGAGGCAUUCAGUGACCUCACAGCAUUCUGGUUUAGAGUUUUGUUUUUGAAUGUUGCAGCUCUUGCCUACUGAUAAAUUCAAUCAAUUGAAUUUAGUUUUUUGUUGUCAGUUAGCACAGAGGUGAAGAACGCAGCUCUGUUCAAGUGGAAUUCAAGUCAAUCCAAAGAUAACCUGAUUAUAUUGAAAAACCUACAAUGUAGAAAUGAGUCUUAAUUCUGGUCUUUGGGUUAAGGCAGUCCAUUCAUUCCACCUACUCAUCUGGUAUUUGAUAGCCCCGUUUAUUUAUAUCAUGAGUGGACUAGUUAUAGCCCUCUCUCAAUCUCCAUGAUUGUAACAUAGGGAACACAUCAUGCCAGUACUUUGUCAAUGAUUGUAUGUUUAUAUUGAAACCUGGAUUGCUGAAAUAUUGUAUUAAAGCUUUCAUUUUAUUAAUUCACCUCCAUGAUGUUCUUUAUUUCUGACAGAAUCAAUGGCACAGCAUCUGAUCUGUUUCACUGAGGGAGUUUGACUAAGCUGAACCGGGGUGGCCUGUGACGUGACCGGGAAAAAGCGAUAAAUUGAAUAGUAAUCUGUGCCGCCCGG